UACGUAGGGUGCGAGCGUUGUCCGGAAUUAUUGGGCUUAAAGAGCUUGUAGGCGGUUUGUCGCGUCUGCUGUGAAAAUCCGGGGCUCAACCCCGGACUUGUAGUGGGUACGGGCAGACUAGAGUGUGGUAGGGGAGACUGGAAUUCCUGGUGUAGCGGUGGAAUGCGCAGAUAUCAGGAGGAACACCGAUGGCGAAGGCAGGUCUCUGGGCCACUACUGACGCUGAGAAGCGAAAGCAUGGGGAGCGAACAGG
RNAcentral lists this ribosomal RNA (253 nucleotides) under uncultured bacterium. RNAcentral's name for it is "partial 16S ribosomal RNA". It matches the Rfam family "Bacterial small subunit ribosomal RNA", at positions 524 to 776 of the family's 1533-position model. The record is from RNAcentral.